GGGAGUGGCGCACGGGCGCGUAACGCGUGGGAACCUGCCCUUAGGUUCGGAAUAACUCAGAGAAAUUUGAGCUAAUACCGGAUAAUGUCUUCGGACCAAAGAUUUAUCGCCUUUGGAUGGGCCCGCGUUGGAUUAGCUAGUUGGUGGGGUAAAGGCCUACCAAGGCGACGAUCCAUAGCUGGUCUGAGAGGAUGAUCAGCCACACUGGGACUGAGACACGGCCCAGACUCCUACGGGAGGCAGCAGUGGGGAAUAUUGGACAAUGGGCGAAAGCCUGAUCCAGCAAUGCCGCGUGAGUGAUGAAGGCCUUAGGGUUGUAAAGCUCUUUUACCCGAGAUGAUAAUGACAGUAUCGGGAGAAUAAGCUCCGGCUAACUCCGUGCCAGCAGCCGCGGUAAUACGGAGGGAGCUAGCGUUGUUCGGAAUUACUGGGCGUAAAGCGCACGUAGGCGGCUUAUUAAGUCAGAGGUGAAAUCCCGGGGCUCAACCCCGGAACUGCCUUUGAAACUGGUAAGCUAGAAUCCUGGAGAGGCGAGUGGAAUUCCGAGUGUAGAGGUGAAAUUCGUAGAUAUUCGGAAGAACACCAGUGGCGAAGGCGACUCGCUGGACAGGUAUUGACGCUGAGGUGCGA
This 630-nucleotide ribosomal RNA is filed under the name uncultured bacterium. RNAcentral describes it as "bacterial SSU rRNA". It matches the Rfam family "Bacterial small subunit ribosomal RNA", at positions 91 to 756 of the family's 1533-position model. The record is from RNAcentral.